Molecule: ribosomal RNA, 473 nt
Filed under: uncultured bacterium
Lineage: Bacteria
Description: bacterial SSU rRNA
Rfam family: Bacterial small subunit ribosomal RNA
Source: RNAcentral
ACUCCUACGGGAGGCAGCAGUAGGGAAUCUUCCACAAUGGGCGCAAGCCUGAUGGAGCAACACCGCGUGAGUGAAGAAGGGCUUCGGCUCGUAAAGCUCUGUUGUUAAAGAAGAACACGUAUGAGAGUAACUGUUCAUACGUUGACGGUAUUUAACCAGAAAGUCACGGCUAACUACGUGCCAGCAGCCGCGGUAAUACGUAGGUGGCAAGCGUUAUCCGGAUUUAUUGGGCGUAAAGAGAGUGCAGGCGGUUUUCCAAGUCUGAUGUGAAAGCCUUCGGCUUAACCGGAGAAGUGCAUCGGAAACUGGAUAACUUGAGUGCAGAAGAGGGUAGUGGAACUCCAUGUGUAGCGGUGGAAUGCGUAGAUAUAUGGAAGAACACCAGUGGCGAAGGCGGCUACCUGGUCUGCAACUGACGCUGAGACUCGAAAGCAUGGGUAGCGAACAGGAUUAGAUACCCUGGUAGGAUAGCG